GCCAACAUAACAUAGUGGUUUGAGUGUUGGACUAUAACUCCGGAGGCCAGGGUUCAAUUCCCAACCCAGUCA
RNAcentral lists this transfer RNA (72 nucleotides) under Phrynosoma platyrhinos (Desert horned lizard). Its description in RNAcentral is "tRNA-OTHER". The record is from RNAcentral. Lineage: Eukaryota; Metazoa; Chordata; Lepidosauria; Squamata; Phrynosomatidae.